Molecule: ribosomal RNA, 253 nt
Filed under: uncultured bacterium
Lineage: Bacteria
Description: partial 16S ribosomal RNA
Rfam family: Bacterial small subunit ribosomal RNA
Source: RNAcentral
UACGGAGGGUCCGAGCGUUAUCCGGAAUUAUUGGGUUUAAAGGGUCCGUAGGCGGAUCAUUAAGUCAGAGGUGAAAGUUUGCCGCUUAACGGUAAAAUUGCCUUUGAUACUGGUGGUCUUGAGUUAUAGUGAAGUUGCCGGAAUAUGUAGUGUAGCGGUGAAAUGCAUAGAUAUUACAUAGAACACCGAUUGCGAAGGCAGGUGACUAACUAUAUACUGACGCUGAUGGACGAAAGCGUGGGGAGCGAACAGG